CCUACGGGAGGCAGCAGUGAGGAAUAUUGGUCAAUGGGCGGGAGCCUGAACCAGCCAAGUCGCGUGAGGGAAGACGGUCCUAUGGAUUGUAAACCUCUUUAGGCGGGGAGCAAUGCCGGGCACGUGUGCCGGGAGGGAGAGUACCCGCAGAAUAAGCAUCGACCAACUCCGUGCCAGCAGCCGCGGGAAUAGGGAGGAUGCGAGCGUUAUCCGGUUUUAUUGGGUUAAAAGGGUGCGUAGGCGGAUUUUUAGUUCAGCGGUAAAAGGUCCGGGCUCAACCCGGGCCGGCCGUUGAUACUGGGGAUCUUGAGUGUGUGAGAGGAAUGCGGAAUGCGUGGUGUAGCGGUGAAAUGCGUAGAUAUCACGAAGAACUCCGAUUGCGAAGGCAGCUUACCGGCGCCCGACUGACGCUGAGGCACGAAAGCGUGGGGAUCGAACAGGAUUAGAUACCCCAGUAGUC
RNAcentral lists this ribosomal RNA (460 nucleotides) under uncultured bacterium. RNAcentral describes it as "partial 16S ribosomal RNA". It matches the Rfam family "Bacterial small subunit ribosomal RNA", at positions 338 to 795 of the family's 1533-position model. The record is from RNAcentral.